CCCUCAACACCCAUCCAACACUACAACUUUCAUAUCUUAUCUCUAUACACGCUGUGAGGCGUUGAGCUAACCAAUACUAAUUGCCCGUGAGGCUUGACCAUAUAACACCCAAGCAAUU
RNAcentral lists this ribosomal RNA (118 nucleotides) under Pseudomonas synxantha. RNAcentral describes it as "partial 23S ribosomal RNA". Lineage: Bacteria; Pseudomonadati; Pseudomonadota; Gammaproteobacteria; Pseudomonadales; Pseudomonadaceae. The record is from RNAcentral.